CCAACGGCCCUCUUUAGGGCCACAAAUUCUAUCGAAUGCUGAACUU
Non-coding RNA from Ancylostoma ceylanicum, 46 nucleotides. Lineage: Eukaryota; Metazoa; Nematoda; Chromadorea; Rhabditida; Ancylostomatidae. The record is from Rfam.